This 837-nucleotide ribosomal RNA is filed under the name uncultured earthworm intestine bacterium. Its description in RNAcentral is "bacterial SSU rRNA". It matches the Rfam family "Bacterial small subunit ribosomal RNA", at positions 31 to 885 of the family's 1533-position model. The record is from RNAcentral.
GACAGCUGGCGGCGUGCUUAAACAUGCAAUCGAGCGGAAAGGCCCUUCGGGGUACUCGAGCGGCGAACGGGUGAGUAACACGUGAGUAACCUGCCCCAAACUUUGGGAUAACCCUCGGAAACGGGGGCUAAUACCGAAUAUUACUUCUGGUCGCAUGGCUGGUGGUGGAAAGUUUUUCGGUUUGGGAUGGACUCGCGGCCUAUCAGCUUGUUGGUGGGGUAAUGGCCUACCAAGGCGAGGACGGGUAGCCGGCCUGAGAGGGCGACCGGCCACACUGGGACUGAGACACGGCCCAGACUCCUACGGGAGGCAGCAGUGGGGAAUAUUGCACAAUGGGCGGAAGCCUGAUGCAGCGACGCCGCGUGAGGGAUGACGGCCUUCGGGUUGUAAACCUCUUUCAGCAGGGACGAAGCGAGAGUGACGGUACCUGCAGAAGAAGCGCCGGCCAACUACGUGCCAGCAGCCGCGGUAAGACGUAGGGCGCGAGCGUUGUCCGGAUUUAUUGGGCGUAAAGAGCUCGUAGGCGGCUUGUCGCGUCGACUGUGAAAACUUGGGGCUCAACCCCAAGCUUGCAGUCGAUACGGGCAGGCUAGAGUUCGGUAGGGGAGACUGGAAUUCCUGGUGUAGCGGUGAAAUGCGCAGAUAUCAGGAGGAACACCGAUGGCGAAGGCAGGUCUCUGGGCCGAUACUGACGCUGAGGAGCGAAAGCGUGGGGAGCGAACAGGAUUAGAUACCCUGGUAGUCCACGCUGUAAACGUUGGGCGCUAGGUGUGGGGGGCCUCUUCCGGUUUCCUGCGCCGCAACUAACGCAUUAAGCGCCCCGCCUGGGGAGUACCG